AACCUCCGCAAUGUGAGAAAUCGCGACGGGGGGAUCCCAAGUGCCAUUCUUAACGGGAUGGCUUUUCUUAAGUGUAAAAAGCUUUUGGAAUAAGAGCUGGGCAAGACCGGUGCCAGCCGCCGCGGUAACACCGGCAGCUCUAGUGGUAGCAAUUUUUAUUGGGCCUAAAGCGUCCGUAGCCGGUUUAAUAAGUCUCUGGUGAAAUCCUGUAGCUUAACUGUGGGAAUUGCUGGAGAUACUAUUAGACUUGAGACCGGGAGAGGUUAGAGGUACUCCCAGGGUAGAGGUGAAAUUCUGUAAUCCUGGGAGGACCGCCUGUUGCGAAGGCGUCUAACUGGAACGGUUCUGACGGUGAGGGACGAAAGUUAGGGGCGCGAACCGGAUUAGAUACCCGGGUAGUCCUAACUGUAAACGAUGCGGACUUGGUGUUGGGGUGGCUUUGAGCUGCUCCAGUGCCGAAGGGAAGCUGUUAAGUCCGCCGCCUGGGAAGUACGGUCGCAAGACUGAAACUUAAAGGAAUU
This 521-nucleotide ribosomal RNA is filed under the name uncultured bacterium. RNAcentral describes it as "bacterial SSU rRNA". It matches the Rfam family "Archaeal small subunit ribosomal RNA", at positions 345 to 866 of the family's 1478-position model. The record is from RNAcentral.